RNAcentral lists this long non-coding RNA (522 nucleotides) under Olea europaea subsp. europaea. The record is from RNAcentral. Lineage: Eukaryota; Viridiplantae; Streptophyta; Magnoliopsida; Lamiales; Oleaceae.
GUCCGGAUUAGAUGGAAGGAAAGAUCAAAGUAAUUCAACACUUAUACAACCGAACCUAAGGAUUCUAACAAGAAAUAUCGGAGCUCAAUGAAAUAUACCAAAGACAUACAGAGUUUCCUAAAACAUGGAUAACACCUUUCAAAUUUUAAAAAAAGAUUUCUCCGAGCACUGAAAGCUGUUCCGCAAAAUACAAUUUAAGAAUUUUGUACUCAUAGAGCAUGUUUGGCCUUGGUAUCGCACUCUUAAUACUGCCAAAAUAAGCCAACAAGAGUUCUCCUGUCUUUUAAGCUACGCAAACUUGCCUAUCUGUCUAAUAUCGCGCUCUUAGAAUGCACAUAAAUCCUAUUGAUGUUUACAUGAUUCAUACUAAAUAUCUUGGGUACCAUCUUCAAUAAAUACAUAACUCCUUUUCAAGAUUCAUCUUCACCACUCCUUUACGAGGAAAAUAAACGUAGUUCAUAGUCCAUUCAUACUAGAUUCUAACAGAACCCGGAAAUCAAAUCGUAGGAGCAAUACUUUGAC